Molecule: small RNA, 24 nt
Filed under: Bombyx mori (domestic silkworm)
Lineage: Eukaryota; Metazoa; Arthropoda; Insecta; Lepidoptera; Bombycidae
Description: ovarian small RNA-10740
Source: RNAcentral
AAUACAAAUUUUAUUGGAAGGUAA